RNAcentral lists this long non-coding RNA (386 nucleotides) under Serinus canaria (Common canary). RNAcentral describes it as "lncRNA (ENSSCAG00000001595.1)". The record is from RNAcentral. Lineage: Eukaryota; Metazoa; Chordata; Aves; Passeriformes; Fringillidae.
AGCCAAAGAAUUAACCAUAAUGUUGAACUUUUCCCAGGGAAGCAGGAUGUAGUGUGUCCAACAGGCACCAGAGCUGUUCCCAGUCUUCCCAGAAAGAGGGAUCAUUUUGUCAUGACAAGGCUGCUUGGAGCACUGUCAAUCCCAGCCAGCUCAGAGAAGAGGAUUCCCCAAAUGCUGGUCAUGCCUUCAUUUGUUAUAUGAGCCAUAUGCACUCGCUUGUCAACACCUAUGGGUACAGGAUGCCUGGUGCUAAACCAAAAAAUCACUCUGGGAAGGAAACUAGGCUGAAACCCAGCUUGGCAAUGAUGCUAGCACACCACAACUGUCUUACAGUGAUGACAGCUGUUUUUUGUGGCAGAAGAAACGAGGUGCAUCAAAGCAUCUGA